This 2164-nucleotide long non-coding RNA is filed under the name Oreochromis niloticus (Nile tilapia). Its description in RNAcentral is "lncRNA (ENSONIG00000037668.1)". Lineage: Eukaryota; Metazoa; Chordata; Actinopteri; Cichliformes; Cichlidae. The record is from RNAcentral.
ACUUGACUGAAUUCCUGAAACAAAGAGAAGUCUCUGAGGAAAUUAUACAGACCUUGGAGAAUGAGAAGGUACUUACUUCCAACAAGAUACUGGUUGAAAUGCAACUUUUCCUCAUUGUUCUUAAGUUAAAAAUAGGACUGUAUUUUCAAGGCUGGUUGUUUUAAUAAAUUAAAUUAUUUUUCCAUCUUUAGAUUGAUGCCAGUGUCAUAAGUCUAAUGACAGAUGAGGAGCUGAAGACUUAUUUGCCAUCAUAUGGUGAUCGUCUAGCAGUAUUUGGAUUUUGCAGACGGAGGGGCAGCAGCCGCAAGUCAGCGCUUUUUGAACGGCUGAAAUCCAAAGUGUCCAAAAGAAAAUUAUCUGAAGAGGAUGGCAGUAGCACACGGCAAGAAGAACAUUCCCAAACAACCCAUAAAAGAAAUGCUCUGAAGAGAAAUAGAAAAAUAGAAAUAGGAUGGAUGCAUUAUGAUGAAGACACUGAGGUUUUCAAGCAGGUUAGAACUAGACGAGGAGGAGGAACAAGAAAAAUAGACAUUUGCAAGGAUGCCAAGAAAAGGGACAUAUUACAGGUUGCAACAGGCCUGUUCUUUCCAGAUGGAGGAAACAUUCAGGGGCCCUUAACAGAUUUUGACUGUGAUCUGAAGGAUUAUCAAGAGAUGAUAGUCGAUGAUGCAUUGACAGUAGGAGAACUUUAUCAUGUCACAAAACUAAAUAUCCGCAGGUUCUACCUCACCACAAAGAAAAAACAAAAUGACAGCCUUCAGAGUUCCAGCCCGAGUUUGCAUCCAUCUUCAGAAAUUGAAGAGAGUCCUCAAAACCAAACCUCUUCUUUUACUGUCACUACAGUCCAAACAUCUGCUCCAUUUGAAACGGUCAGCCAUGAUGUGACAUACAUUGAAGACACUCCAAACGAUAACCUUCCACAAUCUUCCACGCAGUCUCUAAGUGCUAACACUUCUCACAGCAGUGACAUUAUUUUUGUUGGCCCCUUUUCUGACAGUGAGCCAAUAAAUUUGGAUGACACCCUGAUUUUUUCUCCACACCCUGGUCCAUCCAGUGAGAGAGUGAGGAGAGUAGUGGUGGUCCACAGAGGGCAGGUAAUGUCAGAGCUCAUUUCACAUUUUAGUGAUAAGGACCUUGAAGAUGUCGACAUCAAAAUCCAGAUCGUACUGCCUGAUGGAACACCUGAAAUGGCCCAUGACGAUGGGGGAGUUGUGAGAGAUUGUCUUUCAGAAUUCUGGAAAGAAUUCUAUGACCAGUGCACCACUGGAAAUGUUUACAAAGUGCCCUUCUUAAGGCAUGAUUUUGGGCAACAGGAGUGGGAGAGUGUGGGCAGAAUCAUUGCAUUUGGAUGGGUUAGAGAGAAAUAUCUGCCUGUGAAAAUUGCACCUGCCAUUCUAGAACAAGCUGCCUUUGGAUAUGUAAAGAGUGAUAUUGUGGAGGAUUUCCUUAAGUUCAUGCCUGAAUCUGAGCGUACAGUGUUAGAGGCGUGGCGAUCAGACUUUAGCAUCGUGGACCAAGAAGAUAACCACAGCUGCAGAAAUAUACCAACAGCCUACAAUGCCACUGAAGUCCUAUUGGAGCUUGCACACAAAACACUUGUCCAAGAGCCUGCGUAUGUUAUUGAACAGUGGGCAAGAACACUCAGCACUGCAUGGGAAAGCAUUUGUGAUCUAUCGUCACUUUUUGAAACCCUCCAACCAAAUGUGAGAAAAGUUAAAAAAAAAUAAUCACUGCCCUGCGUUAAAGAGUGACUUAUGAUGAGGUAUUAAUUGGGUUAACUUUACCUCUAACAGCUUUUCACAUAGUGCUGUGACCAGGGUGAAAUCCAUCAUAAAGUAAUUGUAAACAGUAGAACCCUUAACAUGAAUGUUAUGGUUCUACUCUGAUCAAAACUCAAGUCAGCUGUGUGACCUCAUAUAAAAUGAUAAAGACGAAAACAUAUAAAUGGAUGUAACCUUCACGAACUUUUCAAAAUGACUUUAUAUGUCUGAUCCAUUAUCCACAUAGAGCAGAUGUGGAAAACCACUGUUAGACCUACUCUAUACUAACGUAGUUACUGACACCCCAUACUAAGGCAGGAUUAGUUAUUCUCUUAAACACUUUCUUUUUUCACAUUUUGAGAUUGUGUAAUUUCUAUAAAGAAUACGUGUAAUGGUUCAAUAGA